Molecule: long non-coding RNA, 413 nt
Organism: Oryzias melastigma (Indian medaka)
Lineage: Eukaryota; Metazoa; Chordata; Actinopteri; Beloniformes; Adrianichthyidae
Exons: 3
Source: RefSeq, a predicted model, not a curated record
GUUCCCCCUAGAAGCAGAUGGAACAUUCCAGGUUCGUUCAAUAAAAAUGCUCUCUUCUCCUUCCCGUCUUCUGCAGGAACCUCCAUGGUGUCUCACUCACUUGUUUCCCUGGAGGUCCCAUCAAACCCACGACUCCUGGAUCUCCAGAGUUUCCCUGAAGACAAAGAAGAAGAUUCAAAUUCUGACGAUAAAUCUGCAGGAAGACCUCGUACCUUCACACCGCCGUGUCCCUUCUGGCCGUACGCGCCGGGCACCCCCUGAAGGAGAAUCACAUCAAGCAUCAAACCGAAUGUGGAGCUGACGGCUGGAGCAGAGAAGCUUCGGGCUUUGACUUCCUGAUCCAAUCUCUUACGGAUGCUCCUGACGGUCCGGCCUCGCCCACGGCGCCUCUUUGACCCCGAUCCCCCUGAAAC